GCUAGCGGCGCGCUUAAUGCAUGCAAGUCGAGCGAUGAGGCCUUCUUCGGAGGGCACAUCAGCGGCAGACGGGUGAGUAACACGUGGGUGACCUGCCCUUGAGACGGGGAUAACGGAUGGAAACAUGCGCUAAUACCCGAUAGGGUCCCAGGGUCAAAGCUGGGAUGAAAGCUUUGGUGCUCAAGGAGGGGCUCGCGGCCCAUCAGCUAGUUGGUGAGGUAACGGCUCACCAAGGCGAAGACGGGUAGGGGGUGUGAGAGCACGGCCCCCCACAAUGGGACUGAGACACGGCCCAUACUCCUACGGGAGGCAGCAGCAGGGAAUAUUGCACAAUGGACGGAAGUCUGAUGCAGCGACGCCGCGUGGAUGAUGAAGGCCUUCGGGUUGUAAAAUCCUUUACGGGGUGACGAGGAAGGACGGUAGCCCCGGAACAAGCGUCGGCUAACUACGUGCCAGCAGCCGCGGUAAGACGUAGGACGCAAGCGUCAUCCGGAUUUACUGGGCGUAAAGCGUCUGUAGGCGGAUGAGUAAGUUGGGCGUGAAAGCUCCGGGCUCAACCCGGAGAGGCCGUUCAAUACUGCUGAUCUAGAGGAGGCCAGAGGGGAGUGGAAUUCCUGGAGUAGCGGUAAAAUGCGCAGAUAUCAGGAAGAACACCAGUGGCGAAGGCGGCUCCCUAGGGCCCACCUGACGCUGAGAGACGACAGCUAGGGGAGCGAACAGGAUUAGAGACCCUGGUAGUCCUAGCCGUAAACGAUGGAUGCUAGGUGUAGGGCCGUAGAGGCUCUGUGCCGGAGCGAACGCGAUAAGCAUCCC
RNAcentral lists this ribosomal RNA (813 nucleotides) under uncultured organism. Its description in RNAcentral is "bacterial SSU rRNA". It matches the Rfam family "Bacterial small subunit ribosomal RNA", at positions 35 to 870 of the family's 1533-position model. The record is from RNAcentral.